UACGAAGGGGGCUAGCGUUGCUCGGAAUCACUGGGCGUAAAGGGUGCGUAGGCGGGUUAUUAAGUCGGGGGUGAAAUCCUGGAGCUCAACUCCAGAACUGCCUUCGAUACUGAAGAGCUCGAGUCCGGGAGAGGUGAGUGGAACUGCGAGUGUAGAGGUGAAAUUCGUAGAUAUUCGCAAGAACACCAGUGGCGAAGGCGGCUCACUGGCCCGGUACUGACGCUGAGGUGCGAAAGCGUGGGGAGCAAACAGG
This 253-nucleotide ribosomal RNA is filed under the name uncultured bacterium. Its description in RNAcentral is "partial 16S ribosomal RNA". It matches the Rfam family "Bacterial small subunit ribosomal RNA", at positions 524 to 776 of the family's 1533-position model. The record is from RNAcentral.